RNAcentral lists this ribosomal RNA (609 nucleotides) under uncultured bacterium. RNAcentral describes it as "bacterial SSU rRNA". It matches the Rfam family "Bacterial small subunit ribosomal RNA", at positions 338 to 951 of the family's 1533-position model. The record is from RNAcentral.
CCUACGGGAGGCAGCAGUGAGGAAUAUUGGACAAUGGGCGCAAGCCUGAUCCAGCCAUGCCGCGUGCAGGAAGACGGUCCUAUGGAUUGUAAACUGCUUUUGUACAGGAAGAAACACUCCCUCGUGAGGGAGCUUGACGGUACUGUAAGAAUAAGGAUCGGCUAACUCCGUGCCAGCAGCCGCGGUAAUACGGAGGAUCCAAGCGUUAUCCGGAAUCAUUGGGUUUAAAGGGUCCGUAGGCGGUUUAAUAAGUCAGUGGUGAAAUCUGGUCGCUCAACGAUCAAACGGCCAUUGAUACUGUUAGACUUGAAUUAUUAGGAAGUAACUAGAAUAUGUAGUGUAGCGGUGAAAUGCUUAGAUAUUACAUGGAAUACCAAUUGCGAAGGCAGGUUACUACUAAUGGAUUGACGCUGAUGGACGAAAGCGUGGGGAGCGAACAGGAUUAGAUACCCUGGUAGUCCACGCCGUAAACGAUGGAUACUAGCUGUUCGGAGCAAUCUGAGUGGCUAAGCGAAAGUGAUAAGUAUCCCACCUGGGGAGUACGUUCGCAAGAAUGAAACUUAAGGAAUUGACGGCUGAGACGAGACGAGACGACGACGAGGGAGGAGG